RNAcentral lists this unclassified non-coding RNA (283 nucleotides) under Hevea brasiliensis (rubber tree). The record is from RNAcentral. Lineage: Eukaryota; Viridiplantae; Streptophyta; Magnoliopsida; Malpighiales; Euphorbiaceae.
AUUACUUUUAAGCUGCGUGCCAUUAUCAGUGAUAGCCAUUUUGGGAACACUGAAUUUGCAAAAAAUGCUCUGUUUGACAAAGGUGAUCGCCUUAUUAGCAGUGAUAAGCUGCGUAGCUUCUGCCUUAGCUCAUUUAGUGAAAUGAUCAGUUGAUAUAACGACAUACUAUCUGCCCUGUAACGAUAUUCCCGACAAGAAUAUCGGACAUAUUUUUAUCAUGUAACCGAUUCAUACCCGAUCAUUCUUCUUUGUCCGAACACUUUUCUAUUGUACUGAACACUUA